This is a long non-coding RNA of Acanthochromis polyacanthus (spiny chromis), 1829 nucleotides long. RefSeq lists it as uncharacterized. NCBI's taxonomy places the organism in Eukaryota, Metazoa, Chordata, Actinopteri, Pomacentridae. The record is from RefSeq and is a predicted model, not a curated record. The transcript is spliced from 2 exons.
UUAAAAUUGUAAAUAUUUUGUUAAUUUGGAGAUUUUUGGUGAUAUUUUACAUGUUUAAUGGAAAUUUGUCCGGAAUCUCUCAAAUUUUGUCCAAAAAUUGUCUAAAGUGAUGCAAAAGUGGCUGAAAUGUUGUAGAAAGUGACACAAAAUAUGUUGAAAAUGACUCAAAAAAUGCAAAAUGAUGCAAAAUUUGUCCAAAAAUGACUCAAAUUUUGUCCAAACUGACUCAAAUUGUACAAAAUAACUGAAAACAUUUUACAAAAUGGCACAAAGUUUGGCUAAAAUCACUAAAAAAUUGCAUAGAAUGACUAAAAAUGUACAAAAGGAUGCAAAAUGUGUUAAUUUAAAUUCAACAUCUGCUUCUGUAGUUUUCUGAUGUCUUUAAUCUGCCACCAUUUCCCAGAAUGCACCGGUGCAGCCUGCAGUGGGGAGCGUGCUCAGUGAUGGCUCCACUCCAGUCUGAGUCAGAGAAGCUGACGGAUGUUUAAUUGGAACAGUAAACUGAUGAUGGACUGCUGGAUAGUCCUUGUUCUGGUGUGGGAGGAGCCUCUGGAUCUGGAGGAGGGGCCUCAGAGCUCAGGGGAGGAGUCUACUGACAUUGACUCACCCACCAGCAGUGGAGGGAGGAGUUUCUGAGCCGACUGAUCCAGGAGCAGUCUUUGAUGGAAACCAUGAUUCCUCAUAAGGACAUCCUAUCCACUGAUUUGUGACAGCAGAACUUCACCACCAGACCUGAAGGGGAUCCAGAGGAGGAUGACCCACCAGGCAGCCACUGAGCUUAAACACACUCAGCUGCUUCCACAUUUACAAGACGGAGCUUCUUCUGUGGUCAACCAGAACCGUGUCACAUCUUUUAAAGACCUACAAGACCUGAAGAUACAACAGAACUUACAGACCUCUGCUAGAUUUGUAGAAGAUCUACAGGGUUUGUGUCAGACCUCUACAGAACAAGAAUUCUAACACAUCUGUACAUCUCUGGACAACACAACCUCCCAGAGUAGUGUUGGAUCCUACAUACCCUUCCAGAUACUUUCCCAGAGGUCUGCAGGAUCUGGACCUCUUCUAGACUUCACCAAAAACUACAAGUCUUCCUCACAUUUCUACAGGAUCUGUUGGACAGACCUCUGCAGGAACUGUUUCAAACUUCUAAAAGUCCUAGAAGAACGGUGUAGGACCUGCAGAUACAACAAGACUUACAGACCUCUGCCAGACAUCAUCUACAAGGCUACACCUCUGGAAGACUUCUACAAGAGCUACAACAUCUGUGAUCUACAGGAUCUACCAGAGGAUCUUGUAGAACUGUGAGAGGACCUCUGCUGGAUUUAUCCAAGAACUACAGGACUUUAUCUGGACCUCCUGCUAGAACUCUGCUCUGUUUAUCUCAACCAGCUCUUUCCAGGAGUUUCAUCGUAGCUCUUAUAGACGCCUGGAUCUCUGGUUCUGUUCAAAAGGUCAGAAAUGUGGAGCAGAGUUUCCUCAGAGGUCUUGUUUAGUUUAAAGACCUUCAGUUUACCAUCACAGAAGAAAGAAACCAGAAAAGAUUCACAAUUAGGAAAGCACAAUCCCAGAAUUUAGGCUGUUUUUAUUAAGAAAUGAUUCAAACAGAUUAGUUAUCGAUGGUUAGCAGUUAUCAGACUUCUCUCUUUUCCUCGUCUGUCUCCACCUCCCCACGACUUCACCUCAUCAGAUGUUCAUGUAUUUCUUAUCAUCUGACCAUCAGGCUGUGUCUUUGUGCAGCUGUUGGUAAUAAAUGUUUAUUUCUAUUCAAAAUGAUUUUCUUCUUCUGCAGCUCCAGCAUGUAAUCGUAAAUAAAUCCUGCUUCCAGAUGA